This 21-nucleotide microRNA is filed under the name Monopterus albus (swamp eel). RNAcentral describes it as "Mal-Novel-1_5p (mature (guide))". The record is from RNAcentral. Lineage: Eukaryota; Metazoa; Chordata; Actinopteri; Synbranchiformes; Synbranchidae.
GAUCUUGACUUGGAAGCAACU